GACGAACGCUGGCGGCAUGCCUAAUACAUGCAAGUCGAGCGAACAGAUGAAGUGCUUGCACUUCUGACGUUAGCGGCGAACGGGUGAGUAACACGUAAGGAAUCUACCUAUAAGCGGGGGAUAACAUUCGGAAACGGGUGCUAAUACCGCAUAAUAUCUUCUUCCGCAUGGAAGAAGAUUGAAAGACGGCUCUGCUGUCACUUAUAGAUGACCUUGCGGUGCAUUAGUUAGUUGGUGGGGUAAUAGCCUACCAAGACGAUGAUGCAUAGCCGACCUGAGAGGGUGGUCGGCCACAUUGGGACUGAGACACGGCCCAAACUCCUACGGGAGGCAGCAGUAGGGAAUCUUCCGCAAUGGGCGAAAGCCUGACGGAGCAAUGCCGCGUGAGUGAAGAAGGCCUUCGGGUCGUAAAACUCUGUUAUAAGAGAAGAACAAAUUGUAGAGUAACUGCUACAGUCUUGACGGUAUCUUAUCAGAAAGCCACGGCUAACUACGUGCCAGCCGCCGCUGUAA
RNAcentral lists this ribosomal RNA (513 nucleotides) under uncultured bacterium. Its description in RNAcentral is "partial 16S ribosomal RNA". It matches the Rfam family "Bacterial small subunit ribosomal RNA", at positions 28 to 523 of the family's 1533-position model. The record is from RNAcentral.